GAAAGCAGCCAGGGGCGCCCAGCGGACCGGCCGGUCCACGGGCUGAGAGGCACCCUCGGAACCUGAUCCAGUCAAUACUGGCGUAGGGAGGCUGAAUCGGCGGGCA
Molecule: non-coding RNA, 106 nt
Filed under: endosymbiont of unidentified scaly snail isolate Monju
Lineage: Bacteria; Pseudomonadati; Pseudomonadota; Gammaproteobacteria
Also listed under: 1 other name
Description: TPP riboswitch aptamer (THI element)
Rfam family: TPP riboswitch aptamer (THI element)
About the family: Vitamin B(1) in its active form thiamin pyrophosphate (TPP) is an essential coenzyme that is synthesised by coupling of pyrimidine and thiazole moieties in bacteria. The previously detected thiamin-regulatory element, thi box was extended, resulting in a new, highly conserved RNA secondary structure, the THI element, which is widely distributed in eubacteria and also occurs in some archaea.
Source: Rfam by way of RNAcentral